Molecule: unclassified non-coding RNA, 169 nt
Filed under: uncultured fungus
Lineage: Eukaryota; Fungi
Description: sequence contains ITS1, 5.8S rRNA gene
Source: RNAcentral
UAGAGAUCCUGCCCUCACGGGUAGACCUCCAACCCUGUGUAUUUAUACCUCGUUGCUUCGGCAGGCCGUCUAGGCUUCGCCUGGCCAUGGGCUCCGGCUCGUGUGUGCCUGCCAGAAGACAUCCAAACUCUUGAUAUAAUUGUCGUCUGAGUAAAAACUUAAUAAGUUA